GACGAACGCUGGCGGCGUGCCUAAUACGUGCAAGUCGAACGCUUCUUUUUCCACCGGAGCUUGCUCCACCGGAAAAAGAGGAGUGGCGAACGGGUGAGUAACACGUGGGUAACCUGCCCAUCAGAAGGGGAUAACACUUGGAAACAGGUGCUAAUACCGUAUAACAAUCAAAACCGCAUGGUUUUGAUUUGAAAGGCGCUUUCGGGUGUCGCUGAUGGAUGGACCCGCGGUGCAUUAGCUAGUUGGUGAGGUAACGGCUCACCAAGGCCACGAUGCAUAGCCGACCUGAGAGGGUGAUCGGCCACAUUGGGACUGAGACACGGCCCAAACUCCUACGGGAGGCAGCAGUAGGGAAUCUUCGGCAAUGGACGAAAGUCUGACCGAGCAACGCCGCGUGAGUGAAGAAGGUUUUCGGGUCGUAAGGCUCUGUUGUUAGAGAAGGACAAGGAUGAGAGUAACUGUUCAUCCCUUGACGGUAUCUAACCAGAAAGCCACGGCUAACUACGUGCCAGCCGCCGCGGUAA
RNAcentral lists this ribosomal RNA (524 nucleotides) under uncultured bacterium. RNAcentral's name for it is "partial 16S ribosomal RNA". It matches the Rfam family "Bacterial small subunit ribosomal RNA", at positions 28 to 523 of the family's 1533-position model. The record is from RNAcentral.